RNAcentral lists this ribosomal RNA (515 nucleotides) under uncultured bacterium. Its description in RNAcentral is "partial 16S ribosomal RNA". It matches the Rfam family "Bacterial small subunit ribosomal RNA", at positions 355 to 859 of the family's 1533-position model. The record is from RNAcentral.
UGGGGAAUAUUGCACAAUGGGCGCAAGCCUGAUGCAGCCAUGCCGCGUGUGUGAAGAAGGCCUUCGGGUUGUAAAGCACUUUCAGCGAGGAGGAAGGUGGUGAACUUAAUACGUUCAUCAAUUGACGUUACUCGCAGAAGAAGCACCGGCUAACUCCGUGCCAGCAGCCGCGGUAAUACGGAGGGUAGCAAGCGUUAAUCGGAAUUACUGGGCGUAAAGCGCACGCAGGCGGUUUGUUAAGUCAGAUGUGAAAUCCCCGGGCUCAACCUGGGAACUGCAUUUGAAACUGGCAAGCUAGAGUCUCGUAGAGGGGGGUAGAAUUCCAGGUGUAGCGGUGAAAUGCGUAGAGAUCUGGAGGAAUACCGGUGGCGAAGGCGGCCCCCUGGACGAAGACUGACGCUCAGGUGCGAAAGCGUGGGGAGCAAACAGGAUUAGAUACCCCUGGUAGUCCACGCUGUAAAACGAUGCCGAUUUGGAGGUUGUGCCCUUGAGGCGUGGCUUCCGGAGCUAACGCG